RNAcentral lists this ribosomal RNA (2048 nucleotides) under Escherichia coli. RNAcentral's name for it is "bacterial LSU rRNA". It matches the Rfam family "Bacterial large subunit ribosomal RNA", at positions 242 to 2314 of the family's 2925-position model. The record is from RNAcentral. Lineage: Bacteria; Pseudomonadati; Pseudomonadota; Gammaproteobacteria; Enterobacterales; Enterobacteriaceae.
AGUAGCGGCGAGCGAACGGGGAGCAGCCCAGAGCCUGAAUCAGUGUGUGUGUUAGUGGAAGCGUCUGGAAAGGCGCGCGAUACAGGGUGACAGCCCCGUACACAAAAAUGCACAUGCUGUGAGCUCGAUGAGUAGGGCGGGACACGUGGUAUCCUGUCUGAAUAUGGGGGGACCAUCCUCCAAGGCUAAAUACUCCUGACUGACCGAUAGUGAACCAGUACCGUGAGGGAAAGGCGAAAAGAACCCCGGCGAGGGGAGUGAAAAAGAACCUGAAACCGUGUACGUACAAGCAGUGGGAGCACGCUUAGGCGUGUGACUGCGUACCUUUUGUAUAAUGGGUCAGCGACUUAUAUUCUGUAGCAAGGUUAACCGAAUAGGGGAGCCGAAGGGAAACCGAGUCUUAACUGGGCGUUAAGUUGCAGGGUAUAGACCCGAAACCCGGUGAUCUAGCCAUGGGCAGGUUGAAGGUUGGGUAACACUAACUGGAGGACCGAACCGACUAAUGUUGAAAAAUUAGCGGAUGACUUGUGGCUGGGGGUGAAAGGCCAAUCAAACCGGGAGAUAGCUGGUUCUCCCCGAAAGCUAUUUAGGUAGCGCCUCGUGAAUUCAUCUCCGGGGGUAGAGCACUGUUUCGGCAAGGGGGUCAUCCCGACUUACCAACCCGAUGCAAACUGCGAAUACCGGAGAAUGUUAUCACGGGAGACACACGGCGGGUGCUAACGUCCGUCGUGAAGAGGGAAACAACCCAGACCGCCAGCUAAGGUCCCAAAGUCAUGGUUAAGUGGGAAACGAUGUGGGAAGGCCCAGACAGCCAGGAUGUUGGCUUAGAAGCAGCCAUCAUUUAAAGAAAGCGUAAUAGCUCACUGGUCGAGUCGGCCUGCGCGGAAGAUGUAACGGGGCUAAACCAUGCACCGAAGCUGCGGCAGCGACGCUUAUGCGUUGUUGGGUAGGGGAGCGUUCUGUAAGCCUGCGAAGGUGUGCUGUGAGGCAUGCUGGAGGUAUCAGAAGUGCGAAUGCUGACAUAAGUAACGAUAAAGCGGGUGAAAAGCCCGCUCGCCGGAAGACCAAGGGUUCCUGUCCAACGUUAAUCGGGGCAGGGUGAGUCGACCCCUAAGGCGAGGCCGAAAGGCGUAGUCGAUGGGAAACAGGUUAAUAUUCCUGUACUUGGUGUUACUGCGAAGGGGGGACGGAGAAGGCUAUGUUGGCCGGGCGACGGUUGUCCCGGUUUAAGCGUGUAGGCUGGUUUUCCAGGCAAAUCCGGAAAAUCAAGGCUGAGGCGUGAUGACGAGGCACUACGGUGCUGAAGCAACAAAUGCCCUGCUUCCAGGAAAAGCCUCUAAGCAUCAGGUAACAUCAAAUCGUACCCCAAACCGACACAGGUGGUCAGGUAGAGAAUACCAAGGCGCUUGAGAGAACUCGGGUGAAGGAACUAGGCAAAAUGGUGCCGUAACUUCGGGAGAAGGCACGCUGAUAUGUAGGUGAAGUCCCUCGCGGAUGGAGCUGAAAUCAGUCGAAGAUACCAGCUGGCUGCAACUGUUUAUUAAAAACACAGCACUGUGCAAACACGAAAGUGGACGUAUACGGUGUGACGCCUGCCCGGUGCCGGAAGGUUAAUUGAUGGGGUCAGCGCAAGCGAAGCUCUUGAUCGAAGCCCCGGUAAACGGCGGCCGUAACUAUAACGGUCCUAAGGUAGCGAAAUUCCUUGUCGGGUAAGUUCCGACCUGCACGAAUGGCGUAAUGAUGGCCAGGCUGUCUCCACCCGAGACUCAGUGAAAUUGAACUCGCUGUGAAGAUGCAGUGUACCCGCGGCAAGACGGAAAGACCCCGUGAACCUUUACUAUAGCUUGACACUGAACAUUGAGCCUUGAUGUGUAGGAUAGGUGGGAGGCUUUGAAGUGUGGACGCCAGUCUGCAUGGAGCCGACCUUGAAAUACCACCCUUUAAUGUUUGAUGUUCUAACGUUGACCCGUAAUCCGGGUUGCGGACAGUGUCUGGUGGGUAGUUUGACUGGGGCGGUCUCCUCCUAAAGAGUAACGGAGGAGCACGAA